CCGCCAGGCUCUCGGAGUCCGGGCGGCCGGGCCUACGGCUGCCGCCGCCUCUGGGGCGCGCCCUGCCUUGACUCCCGGGCCUCGGCCUCGCACCUGCCAGAUGAACGCCCGGGGCCGCGGUGGGCAGAGGCGGCUGCGGGGGCGGAGGACGCCGGGGCUGACAGCGGGGACCGUGCUCAGAAAAAGCAAAGUGGACAAUCACUCUGGAUGUUGGGUACCCAACCAUGGAUAGUUAGGUCAUGGAGAAGAAUCAGUCUCUUCAGUAAAUGUACAAACUUUGCAACAUGGAGGGUGAAUUGCAGAAAUGCAACAGGAUGGUGAGGAGGGAGGGAGCAAGGGACCAGUACUCCAUUUGAACUGGUUCUGUGGCACACACACAUAAUCACAGAGAAGACCCUCAACUUUUCAGGACUGCAUUAAUCCUGGCCAUGUAACUAGAGACUAUCAUUGACCCAACUUGUGCUGAGAAUGACAUAUACCAACGGGGAAACUGAAUCACCACACCUUAAAUUGCUGGUAAAACGUGUUUUACCUCGUGAUUCACAUUUGUGCUCUAUUUUGGAAUCACUUCCCAUGAGAUGGCAAUUAAAAUAGACAUUUCGAUUCAUGUGAUUAUAGAUGGUUCUAUUCCUUAUCUAGCUAAUUCUGGUCUAAAUACAGA
Molecule: long non-coding RNA, 661 nt
Filed under: Canis lupus dingo (dingo)
Lineage: Eukaryota; Metazoa; Chordata; Mammalia; Carnivora; Canidae
Description: lncRNA (ENSCAFG00020013507.1)
Source: RNAcentral